UACGUAGGGUGCAAGCGUUGUCCGGAAUUAUUGGCGUAAAGAGCUCGUAGGCGGUUUGUCGCGUCUGCUGUGAAAUCUGGGGGCUCAACCCCCAGCCUGCAGUGGGUACGGGCAGACUAGAGUGCGGUAGGGGAGAUUGGAAUUCCUGGUGUAGCGGUGGAAUGCGCAGAUAUCAGGAGGAACACCGAUGGCGAAGGCAGAUCUCUGGGCCGUAACUGACGCUGAGGAGCGAAAGCAUGGGGAGCGAACAGG
RNAcentral lists this ribosomal RNA (252 nucleotides) under uncultured bacterium. RNAcentral describes it as "partial 16S ribosomal RNA". It matches the Rfam family "Bacterial small subunit ribosomal RNA", at positions 524 to 776 of the family's 1533-position model. The record is from RNAcentral.